Molecule: ribosomal RNA, 490 nt
Filed under: uncultured bacterium
Lineage: Bacteria
Description: partial 16S ribosomal RNA
Rfam family: Bacterial small subunit ribosomal RNA
Source: RNAcentral
AUUGAACGCUGGCGGCAUGCCUUACACAUGCAAGUCGAACGGCAGCAUGAUCUAGCUUGCUAGAUUGAUGGCGAGUGGCGAACGGGUGAGUAAUACAUCGGAACGUGCCCUGUAGUGGGGGAUAACUAGUCGAAAGAUUAGCUAAUACCGCAUACGACCUGAGGGUGAAAGUGGGGGACCGCAAGACCUCAUGCUAUAGGAGCGGCCGAUGUCUGAUUAGCUAGUUGGUGAGGUAAAGGCUCACCAAGGCGACGAUCAGUAGCUGGUCUGAGAGGACGAUCAGCCACACUGGGACUGAGACACGGCCCAGACUCCUACGGGAGGCAGCAGUGGGGAAUUUUGGACAAUGGGCGAAAGCCUGAUCCAGCAAUGCCGCGUGUGUGAAGAAGGCCUUCGGGUUGUAAAGCACUUUUGUCCGGAAAGAAAUGGCUCUGGUUAAUACCUGGGGUCGAUGACGGUACCGGAAGAAUAAGGACCGGCUAACUACGUG